GGUCAGGCGAGGCGCAAACGUUGUCCGAGGGGGGCGUUACCGAAAUCGGAAUCCAGAAAACGAGAGCCGGAGGUCAGGGAGCCGAGGGUGACGUGGAGGGGAAACGAGAGUGAGGAUCACGGAAGGAAGACACUAGACAGACUACAGGGCUCUGGGGAGGUUCCGCGAUUUGCCUUCUAUCUGGCUGCUCCUCUUACAGCCUGCUGCUGAUUGUUGCAGGUGGAGACAGUGGGCCCUGUCCACAAACCGGGGCUGCUACCAGCCAGACCAGCUUCCCAGCACAAAGAUGCCUCAGGUGUGAGUCUCUGACCUUGGACCUCUUUUGGAAACUCUUUCUCAGAGAUCCUCGCGAUGAUUUUUGGUGAGUCCAGCUGCAGGGGGGCGUACGAAGGGUGGGCAGUUUUGAGUACCUGGCGCAGAA
Molecule: long non-coding RNA, 421 nt
Filed under: Scleropages formosus (Asian bonytongue)
Lineage: Eukaryota; Metazoa; Chordata; Actinopteri; Osteoglossiformes; Osteoglossidae
Description: lncRNA (ENSSFOG00015026984.1)
Source: RNAcentral